UGGGGAAUAUUGCACAAUGGGCGCAAGCCUGAUGCAGCCAUGCCGCGUGUAUGAAGAAGGCCUUCGGGUUGUAAAGUACUUUCAGUCGGGAGGAAGGUGGUAAGGUUAAUAACCUUGGCAAUUGACGUUACCGACAGAAGAAGCACCGGCUAACUCCGUGCCAGCAGCCGCGGUAAUACGGAGGGUGCAAGCGUUAAUCGGAAUUACUGGGCGUAAAGCGCACGCAGGCGGUUGAUUGAGUCAGAUGUGAAAUCCCCGGGCUUAACCCGGGAAUUGCAUCUGAUACUGGUCAGCUAGAGUCUUGUAGAGGGGGGUAGAAUUCCAUGUGUAGCGGUGAAAUGCGUAGAGAUGUGGAGAAAUACCGGUGGCGAAGGCGGCCCCCUGGACAAAGACUGACGCUCAGGUGCGAAAGCGUGGGGAGCAAACAGG
Molecule: ribosomal RNA, 429 nt
Filed under: Chloroflexota bacterium
Lineage: Bacteria; Bacillati; Chloroflexota
Description: Chloroflexi bacterium partial 16S ribosomal RNA
Rfam family: Bacterial small subunit ribosomal RNA
Source: RNAcentral